ACCCGCUGAACUUAAGCAUAUCAAUAAGCGGAGGAAAAGAAACCAACAGGGAUUGCCCUAGUAACGGCGAGUGAAGCGGCAACAGCUCAAAUUUGAAAUCUGGCGUCUUUGGCGUCCGAGUUGUAAUUUGCAGAGGGCGCUUUGGCAUUGGCAGCGGUCCAAGUUCCUUGGAACAGGACGUCACAGAGGGUGAGAAUCCCGUACGUGGUCGCUAGCCUUUACCGUGUAAAGCCCCUUCGACGAGUCGAGUUGUUUGGGAAUGCAGCUCUAAAUGGGAGGUAAAUUUCUUCUAAAGCUAAAUACUGGCCAGAGACCGAUAGCGCACAAGUAGAGUGAUCGAAAGAUGAAAAGCACUUUGGAAAGAGAGUUAAAAAGCACGUGAAAUUGUUGAAAGGGAAGCGCUUGCAGCCAGACUUGCCUGUAGUUGCUCAUCCGGGUUUUUACCCGGUGCACUCUUCUAUAGGCAGGCCAGCAUCAGUUUGGGCGGCUGGAUAAAGGUCUCUGUCAUGUACCUCUCUUCGGGGAGAACUUAUAGGGGAGACGACAUGCAACCAGCCCGGACUGAGGUCCGCGCAUCUGCUAGGAUGCUGGCGUAAUGGCUGU
This 603-nucleotide ribosomal RNA is filed under the name uncultured fungus. Its description in RNAcentral is "eukaryotic LSU rRNA". It matches the Rfam family "Eukaryotic large subunit ribosomal RNA", at positions 23 to 641 of the family's 3401-position model. Lineage: Eukaryota; Fungi. The record is from RNAcentral.